GUCUGAAUAUGGGGGGACCAUCCUCCAAGGCUAAAUACUCCUGACUGACCGAUAGUGAACCAGUACCGUGAGGGAAAGGCGAAAAGAACCCCGGCGAGGGGAGUGAAAAAGAACCUGAAACCGUGUACGUACAAGCAGUGGGAGCACGCUCAGGCGUGUGACUGCGUACCUUUUGUAUAAUGGGUCAGCGACUUAUAUUCUGUAGCAAGGUUAACCGAAUAGGGGAGCCGAAGGGAAACCGAGUCUUAACUGGGCGUUAAGUUGCAGGGUAUAGACCCGAAACCCGGUGAUCUAGCCAUGGGCAGGUUGAAGGUUGGGUAACACUAACUGGAGGACCGAACCGACUAAUGUUGAAAAAUUAGCGGAUGACUUGUGGCUGGGGGUGAAAGGCCAAUCAAACCGGGAGAUAGCUGGUUCUCCCCGAAAGCUAUUUAGGUAGCGCCUCGUGAAUUCAUCUCCGGGGGUAGAGCACUGUUUCGGCAAGGGGGUCAUCCCGACUUACCAACCCGAUGCAAACUGCGAAUACCGGAGAAUGUUAUCACGGGAGACACACGGCGGGUGCUAACGUCCGUCGUGAAGAGGGAAACAACCCAGACCGCCAGCUAAGGUCCCAAAGUCAUGGUUAAGUGGGAAACGAUGUGGGAAGGCCCAGACAGCCAGGAUGUUGGCUUAGAAGCAGCCAUCAUUUAAAGAAAGCGUAAUAGCUCACUGGUCGAGUCGGCCUGCGCGGAAGAUGUAACGGGGCUAAACCAUGCACCGAAGCUGCGGCAGCGACGCUUAUGCGUUGUUGGGUAGGGGAGCGUUCUGUAAGCCUGCGAAGGUGUGCUGUGAGGCAUGCUGGAGGUAUCAGAAGUGCGAAUGCUGACAUAAGUAACGAUAAAGCGGGUGAAAAGCCCGCUCGCCGGAAGACCAAGGGUUCCUGUCCAACGUUAAUCGGGGCAGGGUGAGUCGACCCCUAAGGCGAGGCCGAAAGGCGUAGUCGAUGGGAAACAGGUUAAUAUUCCUGUACUUGGUGUUACUGCGAAGGGGG
Molecule: ribosomal RNA, 1030 nt
Filed under: Escherichia coli
Lineage: Bacteria; Pseudomonadati; Pseudomonadota; Gammaproteobacteria; Enterobacterales; Enterobacteriaceae
Description: partial 23S ribosomal RNA
Rfam family: Bacterial large subunit ribosomal RNA
Source: RNAcentral